Octopus bimaculoides (California two-spot octopus) is the source of this 587-nucleotide long non-coding RNA. RefSeq lists it as uncharacterized. NCBI's taxonomy places the organism in Eukaryota, Metazoa, Mollusca, Cephalopoda, Octopoda, Octopodidae. The record is from RefSeq and is a predicted model, not a curated record.
UAAAAUAAAAUAAAAUAAAAUAAAAUAAAAAGGGAAAAAAAAAGAGAAGCUGCACGUAUAACACAUAACUUAGAAGCAGCGCCACAGAUGUAUCAACACAACACACACGAGAUUGAAACAGCCAACCUCACGCACUUCUCAUGAGGAAUUCCGGAAGAAGCUUCGUGAGACCACUCCUGAGACGCUUCAGAAAAAAGAAAAACCGGUGGAAAACAGUUUAUAGCAGAGACUCCAGCAAAUUAAGAUUUGAAGAAGGAAUUCUAAUUCCGAAAUAUCAUCGGACUACAGUUUACCAAGUUACAACAGUCGCUUGACUGCAGCCAUGCUGGAGUACCACCUUUAGUCGAGCAGGACUUAUUCCUUGUAAGCCUAGUACUUAUUGUAUCGGUCUCUCUUGCCAAACCACUAACUGACAGCGAUGUAAAUACACCACCAUCGGUUGUCAAGUGAUGUUGGGGGGGACAAACACAGACACACAAACAUAUGCAUAUAUAUAUAUAUAUAUAUAUAUUAUGAUUGACCGUUGACUGAACACUAUUCAAUUUUUUUUCUCCGUGUUUUUCUCCUUGUCUCCGUAUUCUUUCUGU